AGUGGCGGACGGGUGAGUAACGCGUGGGUAACCUGCCUUGUACAGGGGGAUAACAGUCAGAAAUGACUGCUAAUACCGCAUAAGCGCACAGAGCUGCAUGGCUCGGUGUGAAAAACUCCGGUGGUAUGGGAUGGGCCCGCGUCUGAUUAGGCAGUUGGCGGGGUAACGGCCCACCAAACCGACGAUCAGUAGCCGGCCUGAGAGGGCGACCGGCCACAUUGGGACUGAGACACGGCCCAAACUCCUACGGGAGGCAGCAGUGGGGAAUAUUGCACAAUGGGGGAAACCCUGAUGCAGCGACGCCGCGUGAGCGAAGAAGUAUUUCGGUAUGUAAAGCUCUAUCAGCAGGGAAGAUAAUGACGGUACCUGACUAAGAAGCCCCGGCUAACUACGUGCCAGCAGCCGCGGUAAUACGUAGGGGGCAAGCGUUAUCCGGAUUUACUGGGUGUAAAGGGAGCGUAGACGGCAAGGCAAGUCUGAUGUGAAAACCCAGGGCUUAACCCUGGGACUGCAUUGGAAACUGUCUGGCUCGAGUGCCGGAGAGGUAAGCGGAAUUCCUAGUGUAGCGGUGAAAUGCG
RNAcentral lists this ribosomal RNA (578 nucleotides) under uncultured Lachnospiraceae bacterium. RNAcentral describes it as "bacterial SSU rRNA". It matches the Rfam family "Bacterial small subunit ribosomal RNA", at positions 94 to 690 of the family's 1533-position model. The record is from RNAcentral. Lineage: Bacteria; Bacillati; Bacillota; Clostridia; Lachnospirales; Lachnospiraceae.